This 253-nucleotide ribosomal RNA is filed under the name uncultured bacterium. RNAcentral's name for it is "partial 16S ribosomal RNA". It matches the Rfam family "Bacterial small subunit ribosomal RNA", at positions 524 to 776 of the family's 1533-position model. The record is from RNAcentral.
CACGUAGGGCGCAAGCGUUGUCCGGAAUUAUUGGGCGUAAAGAGCUCGUAGGCGGACUGUCACGUCCGCUGUGAAAAGCUAGGGCUUAACCCUGGCCUUGCAGUGGAUACGGGCAGACUAGAGGUAGGUAGGGGAGAAUGGAAUUCCCGGUGUAGCGGUGAAAUGCGCAGAUAUCGGGAGGAACACCGGUGGCGAAGGUGGUUCUCUGGGCCUUACCUGACGCUGAGGAGCGAAAGCGUGGGGAGCGAACAGG